This 516-nucleotide long non-coding RNA is filed under the name Equus caballus (horse). RNAcentral's name for it is "lncRNA (ENSECAG00000055250.1)". Lineage: Eukaryota; Metazoa; Chordata; Mammalia; Perissodactyla; Equidae. The record is from RNAcentral.
GGGCCUGGGCUUUCCUGCACAUCCCAGAGAUAUAGGGACAGCCAUGGCACCGCCGUGGGCCACCUCGCCUGAGUGACUCUCCUUGGGGACACUGACACAGCAUGGCUUGAUGAGCUGUGUGUAGGUCCACACCUGGCAUCCGAACUCGCAAACCCCAGGCCACCGAAGUGGAGCGGGCGAACCCAACCACUACACUACUGGGCCCACCCCAUCUUCCGAUGUUUUGACAUCUCUCAGGGGCCUUACAGAUCUGUGGAGAGACUGCACCUCCCUAGGCCAGCUAAUUCCUGGGGUGGUGGACAGCUUACCUGGAAUGUGCCUUUUACACACAGACCUGCCAAUCCCAGACCAUGCCCCCACCCACUUCCUCACCUAACUCUCACCAAGCCAGUAUUUCCCCUGCCCCAAAUCAUCCCAGGGCCAGGGACCAGACCACUGGGGAUAGUUGUCUAUCCCCCUAUAUCCCCAGAGCCUGCCAGAAUUAUUCAACCUAGCCGAUCCUAAGCUGCUUCCUCA